This is a non-coding RNA of Brassica napus (rape), 87 nucleotides long. Lineage: Eukaryota; Viridiplantae; Streptophyta; Magnoliopsida; Brassicales; Brassicaceae. The record is from Rfam.
GAGCUGUGAUGAUAUUAGGCUUUAGCAAUGGUUGGGUCCAUCGCAUUUCUCUGAUUAAUCCAGAUGUAAUGCCAUUUGACUGAGCUC